RNAcentral lists this ribosomal RNA (876 nucleotides) under uncultured bacterium. Its description in RNAcentral is "bacterial SSU rRNA". It matches the Rfam family "Bacterial small subunit ribosomal RNA", at positions 28 to 896 of the family's 1533-position model. The record is from RNAcentral.
AUUGAACGCUGGCGGAAUGCUUUACACAUGCAAGUCGAACGGCAGCACGGGGGCUUGCUCCUGGUGGCGAGUGGCGAACGGGUGAGUAACGCGUCGGAACGUACCGAGUAAUGGGGGAUAACGCAGCGAAAGCUGUGCUAAUACCGCAUACGCCCUGAGGGGGAAAGUGGGGGAUCGCAAGACCUCACGUUAUUCGAGCGGCCGACGUCUGAUUAGCUUGUUGGUGAGGUAAUGGCUCACCAAGGCGACGAUCAGUAGCGGGUCUGAGAGGAUGAUCCGUCACACUGGAACUGAGACACGGUCCAGACUCCUACGGGAGGCAGCAGUGGGGAAUUUUGGACAAUGGGGGCAACCCUGAUCCAGCCAUUCCGCGUGAGUGAAGAAGGCCUUCGGGUUGUAAAGCUCUUUCAGCCGGAACGAAACGGUAUUCCUUAAUACGGGAUGCUAAUGACGGUACCGGCAGAAGAAGCACCGGCUAACUACGUGCCAGCAGCCGCGGUAAUACGUAGGGUGCGAGCGUUAAUCGGAAUUACUGGGCGUAAAGCGUGCGCAGGCGGAUUGUUAAGCAAGAUGUGAAAUCCCCGGGCUUAACCUGGGAAUGGCAUUUUGAACUGGCAGUCUAGAGUGUGUCAGAGGGGGGUGGAAUUCCACGUGUAGCAGUGAAAUGCGUAGAUAUGUGGAGGAACACCAAUGGCGAAGGCAGCCCCCUGGGAUAACACUGACGCUCAUGUACGAAAGCGUGGGUAGCAAACAGGAUUAGAUACCCUGGUAGUCCACGCCCUAAACGAUGUCAACUGGUUGUUGGGGGAGUGAAAUCCCUUAGUAACGAAGCUAACGCGUGAAGUUGACCGCCUGGGGAGUACGGUCGCAAGAUUA